RNAcentral lists this ribosomal RNA (348 nucleotides) under Triticum aestivum (bread wheat). RNAcentral describes it as "partial small subunit ribosomal RNA". The record is from RNAcentral. Lineage: Eukaryota; Viridiplantae; Streptophyta; Magnoliopsida; Poales; Poaceae.
AUGGUCGCCCCCUCAAAGCCUCGGAAGGCCUUGCCCAAGAUCAAGAUGUACGUUCCCGUCGCUUCUGCUGCUGUGACUUCUGCGACCUCCAUGGACAUUUACAAGGAUCAAGAUGAUGAGGAAACUGAAGACGCGACCCUUCUAGAGCGGUCUUGUGCAGCACCACAAGAUGUCAUUGAGCUUCGAAACGACGACGAAGACGUGCCCCAGAAGACCACGGGAAGAAAGGACAGGACUUCGAGCAGGAGGGCGCCUGCCAGCUGUUGGAAAUAUGCCCUAGAGGCAAUAAUAAAAUGGUUAUUAUUGUAUUUCCUUGUUCAUGAUAAUUGUCUAUUGUUCAUGCUAUAA